UUGGAAAUAGUGUUGCAUCACUGCAUCAACCAUGUAGCAAAUCUCAGUGGGAGAUAUUAUAGCAGAAAGGAUGCAGAUUGAAAAGCCUCUAUGAAUCACCACAGAGAGCGCACACAAUCCCUUAGGCUUAUUAAUUACUUUAAGAAUCAACUUGUCUGGGGAAUCCAGAGGCCCCAUGCCAGGAUGCAGUACUCCAGAUGGAGCUUCGUGAGGGCAGAACAGAAGGGAACAAUCACCUCCUUUUCCUACUGGCCACAAUACAGAAUACCUGAUGCUUCCUGUGACGAGAAUGCCUGUAAGCACAGCCGUGGCUGCUCAAGGACGGGCUGUGUGGGGUGCCAGACACGAAGACAGUGACCUCUGUCCCUCCUGUGCUCGCUGCUCACCCUCCUGCAGGGCAGAGCACAGACAGAGGCUUCCAGCCAGUUUCCUGCUCUCUGCAAAGUGCCUUCUUCGCUGUUCAUGCUGAUUCACAUCAGAGAUGACAAACAGCUAUUGCCAUCAAUUACUCCAUUAGUUCGAAUGGUUGAAAGCUAUCUGGGAUACGUAAGGGAUCCAACCUGGCAUCUAUAGAUGUGACACCAUGUGAUAGAAAAGCUUGUAUGACGGUGGAGUUUUCCUUCAUGUUGCAGAACAGAAUACUUUCCCCAUAUGCCAUCCCUUCAUUUGCGCAUCUCAAAUUAAUCUCUUGGCCAGUUUCACAAGUUGAAUCUAGUCCGUUUAUUUAGUCAGAUAAAUGUCUGAUCUGAAAUCUCAUUAGCCCAACAAUUACCUUUGACACCACAGAAGAACAAAGUCUCUUUGCCAUGUAAAUUACGAAAUCACAGCAAGUCUUUUCAGUUCUGAGAGAGCACAGUUUCGAAAAGCAUUCAAAAUGCAGAACAUCAGUUAAAGUCAUUAAUAUUUCUGUGAUGGGUGCAGUUCAGGUUGGACAGCCUGGAAACCAUCAGCCAUAGGAUUUUAUUAUAUUUCCUCAUGAUAAAGCUCUCCCUGUGCAUCAUACAGGGACGGAGAGUGUCCAUUUACAGCAUUAAUCAUUUCAUUUGAUCAUUCUUUCAGCUCUCACUGUAUGGCCUUUCUUUGGAAAACUGUAAAGUGAAUGACAAGAACAAGGACUGAUCAGAGGAAUGGGAAUAAGAAGGCUACUCCAUUCUUGCAGCACUCCCAUCUGAAUACCUUUAAUUAUCAGUCCCCUUAUUGACCAGUAUUAAGUGCUAUUCGUGCAAAACACAAAUUACAGUGCCAGAAAUUUAGAUUUGGGACCUGAUUCCCUCUUCCCCUUCUCCUGUAGUAUCUCAGAUGCAGUGAAAGCCUCUCUGUUGAGUGAGUUUGCUCAAAUCUCAGCAUUUCAAAGGAGCUGAAGUCCCAUUCCUAGUUCGCAGUGUUUGGGUGGCUCUGACACUUUGCUGUUUGGAAAAUUUCACCAGAAUCUUUUCAAAGUGACAGGCACUGGUAUCUUCAGUAUUUGGUUUCCCAGUCCUUCAGGUCCUUUUACAAGUAUUAUCUGAAAGGAGUAUUGCUUGGAAAGGGGAGUUUUUUAAUGGGCUGUGUUUGUUCAGAGAACCUGUAUAAGCUGGUAACAUGAAAGUGCGUGUGCACAAAAGAAAAAGAGCUUCGUAUGAAGUUUUCCAUUCAUGUAUCUGCGUUCUGACAUUCUUUCAUAAUAAAUGGAGCUACAUAGUUUUUCCCACACAGCAGAAAAAUAAUUGGAUUUCCAACAGACGUGCCAGAGCCUUGUUUACCCAGAUGUAUUUCCCUUAUGUUACUGCAGCUCCUCUAAUUCUGUGGGGCUGUUCUGGCCAUCCAGGUCACCAGCAGCCUCAUUAAUGUAUACAGGUGAGGUAUGUCCAGAGCGAAUAGUAUGACUGAUAAAGAGAGCACAUGGUGAUUAACUGUGGCACGGAUUGCAAUAUGAGUAGAUUAUUUUUUAAUAUUUAAAUUACAUUUAAACCACUCCAGUAAAGAUGAGCAGAGAACAGAAGUAGAAAGAAGCAAAAUAAUGAUGUGAUUAAUAUUCACACACAAAAAAAGAAUUAAUUCUUCCCAUCUGUCAGGGAUCAUUUUGUGUUCCAUACCUAUCUGUCCAUUAAUCAGAAGCAGACUGACAAUUGGAAAAAAAAAAAUAGCCAUUUCUUCAGAGAGCUGCACUUCUUUUCAUGUUUUAGCUUGUUGUCUGCUAUCUCAAUUUUACAAAUGUGAUUAUUGUCCAUAACUCUCCCAAUUCCUUUUUGCAAUUAUACUUUUGACCUAUAGCUGCUUUGGCCAGAAAGCAUUUGUGCAGGAUUGGCCUGUUAAGUACUGUAGGUCUUGACUGCUAAGUGCACCCUUAAUUCCUGCUGAAAGCAGCAGGAUUUACAACAGUGAGCUUUAAGGAUGGUUCUGCUGCUAGAACUGGACAACUUGCCUAAUCUCUACAAACUGUAUAGCUUUUGCUAGAGUAAUUUCUUUGAUCACUACACAAAUCUUUUUGAUUAAACAAAUGUGUUCUGAGCCCAGAAGUCUUUUAUUGCAAACAUUUAUACUGCUGUCCCUCUGACCUGAGCAGUUAGCAUUUGAGGCCUGGCCAGGUUGUUUCCAUUAGGAGGAGAAACUGAUGACAGGAAUCAGACUGGCUUCUUUGGUACUGCCCUGCUUAUUUACAGUGAAUACCCACAAAGUUACUCUUCCCUACAUUUGUCAGAAGCCACUAGAGGCAGCUUUUGAACAGUCUAAAACACAGUACCUCAAGUAUCUUUAAUUCGGCCCCUCUUGGAGUCACCCACACAACCCACAUGAGAGCAUUUCUUCUGUUCUCUGUUGGCUUUCGCUUCCACUUUGACCUCUGUCACCAAGACCUGUGGCCUUGCAAACCCUGCUCCUGGCACAGCCAAAUUCAGCCCACACAAAGCAGCCAAGCUGAGGUUCCUUCUCACUUGGCCACCAGAUACUGCUUCCACCAGACCCCUUCUUCCAUAAAGGAACAUAAUUUCCUUCCCUGCAGGUGAAAGAAUGGUAUUUAAUGAAUCCUGUGAUAAACGACAGCUGCCAAUACCUUUUAAGGACAUAAUAUAAAUUCACUAUUGCUCACACAAAGUUACUGCAUGUAUAAAAAGUGGUGCCAAAUGAAAACAAAAGCUGUGAAUCAAGACCGAUGUUUUUGGUUUUGUUAGAAUUUACAGGUAAAGCAGAUUGCAAUUAUUUUUAGGUUUCAAAUGCCAUUUCUUCAAUGUCAAAAAGUUGUGGUUUUGUUUUUGUUUUAAUUUUGAUUUAGAAAUGAACUUUCCUUUGCUAAGAACCAAUAGGAUUGUUUUAUUUUGGGUUGGGUCAACCCUGGUAGGGGUACUCCAUUCUGUUAAGAUGAAUCUUAAAUUUGCUUUUUAGAAAAUUGUUAUCCUGCAUUCCUGCUCUAUGCAUUGGGGCACGAGAUGGCAGUUUGAGAUAUUAUCAUCUCUGAUGAUCUAGAGGUCUCCAAAGGGCAGCUUCUUUCCUUCACAAGACAAAAAGGAUUUCCUUGUGAGUAUACUGUAUGUUUCACGGUAAAAAUCAUCAGACUCUGGUGCAUCAUAAAAGAUGAUAAAGCAGUCUAAUUUGUGAAAGAGAAUGUGGGCAUCGCUCUCCUGAGAUACAAUGCUUGUGUGGUGAGACAUUAUAAUGGGUAACAUUGUGCGGGUGUAUGAAAGUAAUUCCAAACAAAGCGUGUGAGAUCGUAUCAGUAAUCAAAGUGAGGCUGUUCAGUGGAACUUCAGUCAAAAUAUUUUGUUCCAAAUGAGAAUGCCAAGAGAAAAUUUUCAUAUUGCUGGAAAUCUUUGUAAAUUUUUUCUUACUUUAAAUUUUUUGACAGCAUUCAGAACAUACAUACAAAAAAAUAAAAACUGUCGUGUC
Molecule: long non-coding RNA, 3861 nt
Filed under: Gallus gallus (chicken)
Lineage: Eukaryota; Metazoa; Chordata; Aves; Galliformes; Phasianidae
Source: RNAcentral